This 492-nucleotide ribosomal RNA is filed under the name uncultured bacterium. RNAcentral's name for it is "partial 16S ribosomal RNA". It matches the Rfam family "Bacterial small subunit ribosomal RNA", at positions 29 to 507 of the family's 1533-position model. The record is from RNAcentral.
AGUGAACGCUGGCGGUAGGCCUAACACAUGCAAGUCGAACGGCAGCACAGUAAGAGCUUGCUCUUACGGGUGGCGAGUGGCGGACGGGUGAGGAAUACAUCGGAAUCUACUUUUUCGUGGGGGAUAACGUAGGGAAACUUACGCUAAUACCGCAUACGACCUACGGGUGAAAGCAGGGGAUCUUCGGACCUUGCUCGCUUGAAUGAGCCUAUGUCGGAUUAGCUAGUUGGCGGGGUCAAGGCCCACCAAGUCGACGAUCCGUAGUGGGUCUGAGAGGAUGAUCAGCCACACUGGAACUGAGACACGGUCCAGACUCCUACGGGAGGCAGCAGUGGGGAAUAUUGGACAAUGGGCGCAAGCCUGAUCCAGCCAUACCGCGUGUGUGAAGAAGGCCUUCGGGUUGUAAAGCCCUUUUGUUGGGAAAGAAAAGCAGCAGGUUAAUACCCCGCUGUUCUGACGGGACCCAAAGAAUAAGCACCGGCUAACUUCGUG